CCGGACCAGGCCCGCUCCCAAAAGCUCCCCUUCCGGAGCGAUCCUUUAAAGGACUCGGAAUGACGAUCAGAAGGCCCAAUGAGAGGCCUACCAGACUACCAGGAGAAUGCUGAAGAGAGCAUUCGCCUACAUCUUAGCGAAGGGUCAUUCAAAGUCUCUCAGCUGUUACUGCAGAGAAGAUGGAGAGAUGUGACUGGCUGGUGGGCUAAAGCCAAAGCGUGGCAAUCAGGGUUCAGUGCCAGCUUGGAGAAAGGUCUCUCGAGGCUCCUGGGACCUGGGCCAGUCCCUAUCCUGUCAAACAUUGUGAUCAAUGAUUUGGUUAACAUGCCUAGCCUGGCACCGUUGGCAUGCUUGCUAACCAUGUGUGGGAGGGAAAGUUAGCCCACUGGAUGAGUCCAUAUCUGGUGAGAAGGCAAAGCAGAAUCUGUUCAGAUGAAAUGUAAAAGGAAUCGAUGUAAAUUCUGGUGCUUUGGUUAAAAAUAAAACUUCGCCAGAAGGAGGAGGCAUGCCUAGA
Molecule: long non-coding RNA, 514 nt
Organism: Phascolarctos cinereus (koala)
Lineage: Eukaryota; Metazoa; Chordata; Mammalia; Diprotodontia; Phascolarctidae
Source: RefSeq, a predicted model, not a curated record